Molecule: RNA transcript, 4755 nt
Organism: Bacillus rossius redtenbacheri
Lineage: Eukaryota; Metazoa; Arthropoda; Insecta; Phasmatodea; Bacillidae
Exons: 3
Source: RefSeq, a predicted model, not a curated record
AUUAUCCCAACCCUAAUUUGGUUGAAAGGGUGAAUAAAAAUGUCAAAGUGGCCCUCACGAUUUUUCAUCAACGUAACCAACGGAAGUGGGACAGUGUUAUCCACGUAUUAAAUUUAGCUUUUAACAUGACCAUACACAGUGGUACUAAAUUCACACCAUCGGAAAUUUUUUUGGGAAGAAAUGUACCCCAUCCUUUACUAAAUUGUUGGGGUUUGCGUCCAGCCCUUUUGGAAACCCGAAGCCCCCGUUUGUUGGAAAAAAUGUGGGAAGAAGCAGCCGAAAAUCUGCAAAAGGUUAGAAAGAAAAUGAGUAAGUUUUAUAAUAAGGGGCGAGUGGAUAAUGUAUUUAAAAUUGGUGAUGAAGUGCUAUGCAGACAAUUUGUUUUGAGUGACAAAGUAGGGUAUCAGAGCUCUAAGUUAGAGAAUAAGUAUGAUGGACCGUAUAAGAUUGUAAAGAUUUUAGGGCCGGUUACUGUCUUGUUGGAAGAAGUUGAAAGAAAUAAUAAGGUAAAAAAGGCCCAUGUUAGUCAUUUGAAAAUGUUUGUAAGGCGGAGUUCCUAAAAUGAAUGUGGAUGACCCUUUUAGGGUGAAUAUGGCUAAAUAUUUUUAUUUUUAUUUUAUUUGGAACUUACUCUGGUAUGUUUUUUUUUUUAUAUAAUUUGUAGUUGUGGUUAUUUUUAAAAUUUUCUUUGCUGUUGAAAUUUUUUUUUUGUUCAAGGCGGAGGUUGUGGCCGGCAGGGCCACAUUUUUACUUGUAAUUUAUUUUUGUUGCUGGUCUCUAGUUUUAUAUGGUUUUUUAUUUCACGUAUUUUUACGCCUUUUUUAAUUAAUGUUAAUUUAUCUGUAAAUUUUUUUUAAUUAUAUUUGUUUCUGUUAAUUAGUUAUACGCCGUUUGGUAGCUAUCGAUUAUGAGUUUAAGAAUAUCGAUUGUGUUUCACGUAAAUACCACUUGGUGAGCGCCCGGCGGUUGGCUGAUGACGUCAGACAUUCGGCUUGCCGGGAAGAAAAAAUCAGCUGGGCCGGCGAGGGAGUGGGUGCCGAGCGACCGUGGAGGACAGAGGGAUGUGACGGUGCGGACUGGUGUGCCGGACGGCAACGGGCGACGAAGAGUAUUGGGAUGGAGGCUCCACGCUGGGCGACAGGGCAAUGGAUUGCCCUGUGAUACAGAAGUAAUCAAGGUGCUUCGUCCAGGGCAGCACUGGAAGGAGAGAUCUGUCAAGAACACACCGCCACCAGCCGUGCAACCGAAGAGGAACAUCGUAAACAGCAGCAACUUGGCCGCAACGAAGUCAUCGUCGCGGGCGCCCGGAAAACAGCAUAUUGAGGUGGGAUCGACCAAAUCGUCAGUAACAGUGGUGGACACUUAGGUCGGUUAGGGAUUAUUCUAGCACGAACUAAAAACUGUACAAGGCCCUGAACUAUUUGUUUUUGUCACCGUUCUUUGUAACCUAUGGUUUAUAAAAUCUGAGGGGCAAAAUAAAUUAUUGUCAUUUUGUAAAACGCGUUAGUUCUUUGUAUAAUAGGGCAUAAAUUGUUUAAAUUAAAAUCUGCAUUGUUGAAUACAAAUUUCAGGAAGGAUGAUGGCUCCAAGCAGAAUUUGUCUUGUCGCAGAUUGGUUGAGGUUUCUAGAAUUGAGGUAUUAAAUUAGGAUGCCGCAAAUCCAAGAGUGGACAUCAAAUCAAUGAGAUGUUUUGGUCCAAAUGUGUGAUAAAGAUAAACGCUGACUCCAUGGAACAAUGAGUAAACGAUUGACCGACGCCUCACUGCAGCUAUUAUUGAAUGUGCGAGAGCAACACACUUCUUUCUAUGUGUAUCUAGGCAGUAUCAUUUGUCUUUAAGAAUUACUGUUUCUAAUGUUAGUCGCAAAAAUUCGGGUAUCACUGUAUUUACAUCGUGGAAGAAGUCACCUGUGGGUGGAAAUGAAGUCUCAAAAGGUUUUGCACGAAUACCCUCUCGCAUAACAUUGUCAGUUGCCUUAACCACAUGCAGUCUCUCUUAUUGAUGAUCUGAAUGUUUAUCACUCUACCAAGCAUAUGUCAGAAUUUUGUGUCCGAUAUUUUUAAAACAAACAGUGUUUUUUUCGAAGCAGGUUCGGCAGUUAUUAUAUCCUCUCCAUACUUCAUAAACAGAGACUUUUUACUGUGUGAUUAUUGGGCUUUUCCCCUUCUAUGUGCUUUGUGCCAAUCAUGUGCAUUAUAGGCACCCUUUUUUAGUUUUAAAAUAAUUGAGUUUUUUUUAAAAUUAUUUUUGCUUAAAUUCUUUGCUCCCUGCUAUUUUAUCCAGCCCAGUGUACGGCCGGGCCAAUUCUUUUCAGAGUGUCCCCCCCUCCCCCCCCCACACACAAACACCAUCAGGUUCACUGCUUCGCCAAUGCUACAUUGCGACUUGGAGUGCUGUUUGAAGCGCCCCGGUCCCAUAACCCCCGCUUGCUGUCAUGUACUAAGUCUCGUUACACGAAGCCAUUUCGUAACCAAACUUGCGGGGGCAAGCAGACAUUCAGCCCCUGGUGACUUCCCCGAAGUUUCGCUAUCAGCAAGCUUGUACAACCAGCCUGGUCAAAUUCUCGGUGCGGCAGACACGUCGUGGUGUUUCGUCGCCUCGGUUCUCACGAACCUUGCAGAAUUUCCCCCGCUCUCGCCUGUCCCCUCGUCCAGAACUCAGGCCGGGUCAGUCACCGGUCAUAAACUCCCCCCCCCCCCCCUUCCUCACUGGUCCAGGGAGGUCAUAACCCACAGCCGCUCUCAAACUCUCGUCCGCACACCCUGCCGGCGACGAGAGGAAUUAAGAUGCGCCGGACUGCUAAAAGACGUAUCCGCGAUCCAUCUAGCGGAAGCGAGAGACACUAACCCCUCCCUACCAUCCUGGCUGUCCACCUGAGGGCAGCACUGUCGUGCCCAUAAGAACAAUGUUCAAGCUAAUCGACCCUCGACCUGACCGCUCGCCGGGCGAGUUCAGUUCCCCACUUCUCCGUCCAGAGCGCGCUGCCCAAGGAUGCCAACUUCGAGUGUCUAUGGCGACGAGCGCCGAUGAAUACCGAAGGCUCCUCCCCCCCCCCCCUCCUUCAAGGGAAACUUGGCCUUUUAAUUUCAUGCCCCGACCGCGCCCCGAGGUCACUUUUCUUAGGGCAGCCAACCGCGAACGUCUCCGGUCAGCUACUCUCCUGACUUACGCGAGAAUUAGAAGACCGCCGAUCAUUCAUUUGGAAUGUAGUCUACUACAGUUAAGGCCUCAAGUGCCGAGUUACUAUUUUUAGCUUUUAGUCUGCCCUAAGUAAUCGCAAGUUAAAUUUUUUUCAACUUUCUUCGUAACCAUCAUGGUUUCCAAAGCCAACCGUGUGCUACCGCGUCGGUCUACGAGGCGGCAGCCAGGCAGCUGAUUUCUCCCCGCAGUGUGCGGGUUCGAGAGCACCCCUGGAACCCAGUUCGUUCUAGAACAUCCCACAUCAAUAUUUUGGCCCAGCAGUUUCACAACACCCGAUGAAACGCUAUCGUCAUUUUACUAUCUCUCUCUUCUCGUCGUCUGCGGCUCACUAUGCUUGACCGCCAACAUAUAUACAUCAAGUCUACCUAACACCCGUGCCAGUUUAUAGACAUUUUUUUUUUAUUGUUUUAUUUUAUAUUUCUGAACUGUAAAUUUAUAAUUUCAAGUGCUAGCCAAUGCAACUAAGCAAUUUUGUGUAAUUAUAUGUUAACUUUCAUAAGUAACCCCGUUGAGGCCCUGACCUAUGGUCAAUUGUUUUUCACCUUUUUAAAAUAAUGUUGUGUUAAAUUUGUAAUAUGCAAACCAUAUAAAAAGUAUGAAAGCACUGUGAAAAUGAAAUAGAAAAUCAAUCAGAAUUUAAUCAGAAUAAAUCGAAUAGCUAGCCAACCAAACCUCGGCUUCUCAUUUAUAAGCCUUACGAACCUCUCCGCCAUCUGUAAGCCCACAGGGGCGGUAAUAAAUUCUUGUUCACCCUCCGUAGUGCCCCUCUGUAGUAUCAUUGUCUUAUUUUUUUAUUAUAAGUUUAUCUUUCCAGUAUGUUUCCAAAUUUUUGUAUCUAAGAAGUUUCUCUAAGAAAAUACUUAAUAGUAAUUAGCGCACUAAGAAGAGCCGUAACAACUGGUAGUACAGAGCGUGGUUUGGUUAUAAGCUAUAAUUCAAAAUAAAUAAUUAAUAUAUACAUAUAAAAACAAAUUAAAGUAUUUUUUGUAACCUAAAUUUUGAUGUACUAUUUAAUUUUUUGUAAGUCAUGAGCUGGCACACCUCGUCCCCUUUAUUAUUAAUUUUAUCGUUGGCCAAUAUUAAAUUUUUCUCGUCGGGCUGCAGCGCGCGGUCUACGAGGCGGCAGCCAGGCGCGCCACGCCGCGUCAGCCGGGCGGGCAGGGUGUUUGUUAUCUUCGUAACGCGAGUGCUACACUCCCCCCCCCCCCUGCUCGAUCCACCCGCCGCUACAGGCGUGACGUCCUUCUAACAGGGCAUUCACAUCGCCCCAGGGGCGUCCAGCCGUAAUCUCCCCUGGAACCUUGCGUUUCAGGUAGCGCGAGGCGAUUGCCCGCGACGUAAUUCUGAGAUUUAUGUCCAGUAAACCCUGGACGAUAGUAAAUUUUUACGUGAGCCACUGUUCCUAUCACUUUUUUUUAAGUUUAUGUAUAAACAAAACUAUAAGUUAAGAGUACUAUUGUAUGCUACUAAAGCUAUUACUAAUAAACACGCACGUAAUAUUUACAUAUAUAUUUUUAAUUUUCAUUUCAAGGGCUUCCCCCCCAUCACAAUAAUU